Molecule: small nuclear RNA, 194 nt
Organism: Quercus lobata
Lineage: Eukaryota; Viridiplantae; Streptophyta; Magnoliopsida; Fagales; Fagaceae
Product: U2 spliceosomal RNA
Exons: 1
Source: RefSeq, a predicted model, not a curated record
AUACAUUUCUCGGCCUUUCGGCUAAGAUCAAGUGUAGUAUCUGUUCUUAUCAGUUUAAUAACUGGUAUGUGGCCCACUGGGUCACAUUUAUUAAACAAUUUUUUAAGGGGGAAGGCCCAUUAUGGUAGCUUGCAACUGAGGCCUUUAAGCGUCGCCCAUGCGUUGCAUUACUGCUUGGGCUUGGCGCGCCCCAC